Mesoplodon densirostris (Blainville's beaked whale) is the source of this 2346-nucleotide long non-coding RNA. RefSeq lists it as uncharacterized. Lineage: Eukaryota; Metazoa; Chordata; Mammalia; Artiodactyla; Ziphiidae. The transcript has 6 exons. The record is from RefSeq and is a predicted model, not a curated record.
CAGGAGUUGCUGCGUUCGAGUAAGACUGGGACAGUGCUGCACCUUGUGAACGAAAAGAUGUUUCCCUUCUGAGAUGACUAUUUUUCUUCAGUGCCUUCUUGGAUCCUAGAAGGGGAAAAAAUGACUAGUUGCUGGGGCAUCAUGUGGGAUCUUAAUUCCCCAACCGAGGACUGAACCUGCACCUCCUGUAGUGGGGGACAGCGUCUUAACUACUGGACUGUCAGGGAAGUCCCUGUAUAUUCUUCAAGGUGGCAGAUGAUACCAAAUAUUGGAACUUCUGAAAUUCUGCCUGGUAGUCUGCAUUCUAGGAGAAGCACUGUUGAUUUGAACAGGGAAGAUCCUUCUGGAGAAUUGGAAGAAUCUGAUUACACUGCUCUUCUGUCUCAUUCAUCCUUGCAUUCAUCCCUGCUGCUGAAGACAAAGGCUUUUUCCUUUAUCCUUUGCUGCCUGCCUCAGCCUCUUUACUUCUAAAGUCUUACAGGAUUCCAGGCUAGUGCUGCUUGGUCCUGCUCAGCCUUAGCCCUUGGUCCUAUUCUCUGUGUCGGCCCAGCCAUGGCACUCUUCUGCCCUUCUCUUAUCCUGGCUUCCUCGGUGGCCUCUCACUGCUGUGGCCUCUGCUCCGGACGUGCAUGCUCAGCGGCCAUGGCUCACGAGCCCAGCCGCUCUGCGGCAUGUGGGAUCUUCCCGGACCGGGGCACGAACCUGUGUCCCCUGCAUCGGACAGCACUGUUGAUUUGAACAUGGAAGAUCCUUCUGGAGAAUUGGAAGAAUUGAGGCGGACUCUCAACCCCUGUGCCACCAGGGAAGCCCUGGACCUCACAAAAGUUCUUAAAAUCUCCAGAUUCUUGAGGGCUCCAUAGGAAGUCAAUUGUAUUAUGCUUCUAGACCUCAUACAUGUCCCUUUCACUGUUUGUCCUGUGAACAUGUGAGCUGCAUGUCUGUUACCUCCCUGACAGAUUGUUGAAAACACUUUAUAGAGUUAUUUAAGAUUCAAAGAAGCCCAGUGUAGUAGUCUGUGUGAGCUUAGAUCUUAGAGACAGGAGAUUCCAUUUUUAAAUCAUUUGUUGGUGUUCACAUCCUACUAUCCUUGUGUGUCACCGUACUAGUGGAUGCUGAAAAUUAUUUUCUUAUCUCCCCUUUACGCAAAGGUUCCAGUUGCUCCCUAACUAGGGUCAUGCUUCCUAAAGACAUGAGCUGGUUUCCAAGAAAGCAGAUUUCAGCUUUAUCCCUUGGCAGAGAGAAUGGAGUCAUUGCACACAGGCCAAAACAUUCUUUCUGCCAGAGCUUCCCAUCUGGAAGAAAAGAGAAAAAGAGUUUCAGAGUUUCCAUAAGGGCUGCCUAAAAAUGGGAGGGAGGAAUAGUGAGCCAUAGGGAGGGGAGAAGAAAGCUACAGGGCUGGAACCCCAAGCUCCAUUGUCUGGAAAGAAUGUCAGAUUCCACAGGCCUAAAACCCUGGACUAGCAGCACCUACCUUUCCCUUCCUCCUAACCCUUAGCCAGGAUUUAUUUUGUACCCCAUUCCUUUACCUUUCACAUAUAUUUAUCCGUCCUGCCUAUCCCAUCUCAAGAAUUUUCCCUCUAUUCUUUGUUUUGAUGUACCUCCCUUCCAAUUUUGUGCUUUCUGUAUGGACAACUCCGAAAUGUUCCUAGACUACUUUAAUGCGUCUCACAAAAAUAAGAUUGCAGCGUUAGAAGGAACUUUCUCAUAACCUGUGAUGUACAGAAGGACUUCAGUGGGUCCAGGAAGCCUCUGAAAUUGAAUGUCGGUUUAGUCCAUAUAUGCAUCUUUCUGGCAAGAAGGCCUGUAGCUUCUAUCAAGUUCUCAUAUCUAACGUUCAGAUCCCUGCUGUUGACCCUGUAGUUCAGUGUGUUUCGGUGUAAGUCUGGGAACCCAAGUUAAUUUUGGAACCUAGAUCAUGACUUCCAUUUUUUAAAAUGAAUAAAAUAGAAAAUAUCAAUGUGGGACUUUCCUGGUGGCGCAGUGGUUAAGAAUCCGCCUGCCAGUGCAGGAGACAUAGGUUCGAACCCUGGUCCAGGGAGAUCCCACAUGCUGCAGAGCAACUAAUCCCGUGCGCCACAACUACUGAGACAAUGCUCUAGAGCCCGCGAGCCACAACUGCUGAGCCCGUGUGCCACAACUACUGAAGCCCACACGCUUAGAGCCUAUGCUCUGCAACAGCAGAAGCCACCACAAUGAGAAGCCCACACACUGCAACGAAGAGUAGCCCCCGCUAGCUGCAACUAGAGAAAGCCCACGCGCAGCAACAAAGACCCAAUGAAGCCAAAAAUAAAUAACUGAAUAAAUAAAUUUAUUAAAAAGAAAAUAUCAAUGUGUAUCACACAUAGU